Molecule: ribosomal RNA, 732 nt
Filed under: Zasmidium eucalyptorum
Lineage: Eukaryota; Fungi; Ascomycota; Dothideomycetes; Mycosphaerellales; Mycosphaerellaceae
Description: eukaryotic LSU rRNA
Rfam family: Eukaryotic large subunit ribosomal RNA
Source: RNAcentral
CGGCAACAGCUCAAAUUUGAAACCUGGCGCUUGCGCCCGGAUUGUAAUUUGUAGAGGAUGCUUCUGGGCAGCGGCCGUUCUAAGUUCCUUGGAACAGGACGUCAUAGAGGGUGAGAAUCCCGUACGUGACCGGCGCGCACCCUCCACGUAGCUCCUUCGACGAGUCGAGUUGUUUGGGAAUGCAGCUCUAAAUGGGAGGUAAAUUUCUUCUAAAGCUAAAUAUUGGCCAGAGACCGAUAGCGCACAAGUAGAGUGAUCGAAAGAUGAAAAGCACUUUGGAAAGAGAGUUAAAAAGCACGUGAAAUUGUUGAAAGGGAAGCGCUUCCCACCAGACUCCGCGGCGGUGUUCCGCCGGUCUUCUGACCGGUCCACUCGCCGCCGUGGGGCCAGCAUCGUCUGGGGCCGCCGGAUAAGACCGCAGGAAUGUAGCUCAUUGAGUGUUAUAGCCUGCGGUGAUGCGGCGCGCCCCGGGCGAGGUCCGCGCUUCGGCAAGGAUGCUGGCGUAAUGGUGGGCAGCGGCCCGUCUUGAAACACGGACCAAGGAGUCUAACAUCUAUGCGAGUGUUCGGGUGUCAAACCCCUACGCGUAAUGAAAGUGAACGGAGGUGGGAGCUUCGGCGCACCAUCGACCGAUCCUGAUGUCCUCGGAUGGAUUUGAGUAAGAGCAUAGCUGUUGGGACCCGAAAGAUGGUGAACUAUGCCUGAAUAGGGUGAAGCCAGAGGAAACUCUGG